AAGAUUAAUACCCGAUGGCAUAGUUCUUCCGCAUGGUAGAACUAUUAAAGAAUUUCGGUCAUCGAUGGGGAUGCGUUCCAUUAGGUUGUUGGCGGGGUAACGGCCCACCAAGCCUUCGAUGGAUAGGGGUUCUGAGAGGAAGGUCCCCCACAUUGGAACUGAGACACGGUCCAAACUCCUACGGGAGGCAGCAUG
Molecule: ribosomal RNA, 195 nt
Filed under: uncultured bacterium
Lineage: Bacteria
Description: partial 16S ribosomal RNA
Rfam family: Bacterial small subunit ribosomal RNA
Source: RNAcentral